This 497-nucleotide ribosomal RNA is filed under the name uncultured bacterium. Its description in RNAcentral is "partial 16S ribosomal RNA". It matches the Rfam family "Bacterial small subunit ribosomal RNA", at positions 28 to 507 of the family's 1533-position model. The record is from RNAcentral.
GAUGAACGCUGGCGGCGUGCCUAAUACAUGCAAGUCGAGCGAACAGAUGAGGAGCUUGCUCCUCUGACGUUAGCGGCGGACGGGUGAGUAACACGUGGAUAACCUACCUAUAAGACUGGGAUAACUUCGGAAAACCGGAGCUAAUACCGGAUAAUAUAUUGAACCGCAUGGUUCAAUAGUGAAAGACGGUUUUGCUGUCACUUAUAGAUGGAUCCGCGCCGCAUUAGCUAGUUGGUAAGGUAACGGCUUACCAAGGCAACGAUGCGUAGCCGACCUGAGAGGGUGAUCGGCCACACUGGAACUGAGACACGGUCCAGACUCCUACGGGAGGCAGCAGUAGGGAAUCUUCCGCAAUGGGCGAAAGCCUGACGGAGCAACGCCGCGUGAGUGAUGAAGGUCUUCGGAUCGUAAAACUCUGUUAUUAGGGAAGAACAAAUGUGUAAUUAACUAUGCACGUCUUGACGGUACCUAAUCAGAAAGCCACGGCUAACUACGUG